GUUUCCCUUGCAAGAUUAAUAUGCAAAUGUGUUAAAAUUAUAAAAAAACAAAAACAAAAACAAAAACACGGACAAAACGGAUGAUGAUGAUGAUGAUGGGGACUGUUUAACAUCCAGCAGCAAAAAAGUAUAAAUAUUUAGAACUAGACAUGAUAUGAACCCUGCUGUGUACGUACUAGGCAUAAAGGCUGAGUUUUUUUUAGCGUGCUAGUUCACAAGGGUACAGUCUACAGAAAGACAGUACAAAAUGGAGAUUAUACUAAACGGUUACAAUCAAAAACUCGGAAUCUUUACUUUUUCCCCAUGGUCGAAUCAUUCUAAAGAUGUAUCAAAUUUUAUUUUAAUUUUCAUGUUAAACAUUGAUUGAGAUGAUUUGUAGUGACAUAAUUAUAACAACUCCAAUGAUAAAGUAUAAAAAGGGCGAUAACUUAAACGUUCUUUUUCAAAUUGACAGCAGACAUGAAUAAAUGUACAACUGUGAUGAACAUGGAUCACCUGUUUUAUUUUACUAGGGUUCAUCUUAUUUCUUUUAUCAAGCUGAAACAUUGUUAUACGAACUCGUUAUGUUUGAAAGUUGAACAGUUGUCUACUUUCGGUUUUGUUUUGUUUACAUUGCUAUGGAUAUUUAUAAUAUUUAGAAUCAGUAACGGACCGGUCGUGGUUAGCAUACCCGGAAAUAUUCCGAUCGGUAGUCGUAAACAUAAGGGCCGUCAUUCAAACGUUUUAGCAUAAAGGGUUAGGUAAUUAUAAACACUCAUAUGAAUAAGACAUAUGGUAUCGUCCAAAUUAAAUGGUAUGGUCCAAAACCUUAGUAAAUAAGCUGAUGUGCUGUCAGAACAAGGGUCGCUUGAUGGAUAAUCCAGACGCCUUAAAGAAG
RNAcentral lists this long non-coding RNA (877 nucleotides) under Mytilus galloprovincialis (Mediterranean mussel). Lineage: Eukaryota; Metazoa; Mollusca; Bivalvia; Mytilida; Mytilidae. The record is from RNAcentral.